This 95-nucleotide ribosomal RNA is filed under the name uncultured bacterium. RNAcentral's name for it is "partial 16S ribosomal RNA". It matches the Rfam family "Bacterial small subunit ribosomal RNA", at positions 1388 to 1482 of the family's 1533-position model. The record is from RNAcentral.
CACCGCCCGUCACACCAUGGGAGUUGAUUGCACCAGAAGUGAGUAGCCUAACCGCAAGGAGGGCGCUUACCACGGUGUGGUCAAUGACUGGGGUG